GCGCGGUAGGACGUCAACGACAGCGCAACAAUUAUAUUAGAUAUCAAGACAAGUUUUCAAGGGACCGGACACAUUUUCGAAUGGACUGACUGUUGGCAGCGGAAAUUCUUGAGCCGUACGAUACUAUGAAUCGUCUUCAGAUACUAAAAUGAACCCUCCGCUAUCAGAAAGCUGACAGGAAAAUGGAGAGAGAGAGAGAAGGAGAGGAUGAAGACAAGUGAUGCGAAGGAAUGGAAGAAGCCCCUGAGCAGAACCAGAGGGAGGGAGGGAUGACUGCUGUGACAUGAAAGAGUGAUAGAGGUAUCAGCAUUGACUCCCUGUCUAAAUAAAAUGACCUUGGUCUCAGCAUUGACUCCCUGUCUAAAUGAAGAGACCUUGGUCUCAGCAUUGACUUCCUGUCUAAAU
This 405-nucleotide long non-coding RNA is filed under the name Salmo salar (Atlantic salmon). Its description in RNAcentral is "lncRNA (ENSSSAG00000082113.1)". The record is from RNAcentral. Lineage: Eukaryota; Metazoa; Chordata; Actinopteri; Salmoniformes; Salmonidae.